UAGGCGGUUCUUUAAGUUUGGAGUGAAAGUCCUGGAUUCAAUUUGGGAAUUGCUUUGAAUACUGGAGAACUUGAGUGCGGAAGAGGUAAGUGGAAUUCCCAGUGUAGCGGUGAAAUGCGUAGAGAUUGGGAGGAACACCAGUGGCGAANGCGACUUACUGGGGCCGUAACUGACGCUGANGCUCGAAAGCGUGGGGAGCAAACAGGAUUAGAUACCCUGGUAGUCCACGCCGUAAACGAUGAUUACUANGUGUUGGGGGUUAUGAACCUUCGGUGCCNCAGCAAACGCNAUAAGUAUCCCCUGGGGAGUANUUCCCAGAAUGAACUCAAGGAAUUGACGGGGACCCCNCAACGGU
RNAcentral lists this ribosomal RNA (355 nucleotides) under uncultured bacterium. RNAcentral's name for it is "partial 16S ribosomal RNA". It matches the Rfam family "Bacterial small subunit ribosomal RNA", at positions 572 to 933 of the family's 1533-position model. The record is from RNAcentral.